This 218-nucleotide ribosomal RNA is filed under the name Campeiostachys nutans. RNAcentral describes it as "Elymus nutans partial small subunit ribosomal RNA". The stretch from base 47 to 218 matches the Rfam family "Eukaryotic small subunit ribosomal RNA", at positions 692 to 864 of the family's 1831-position model. The record is from RNAcentral. Lineage: Eukaryota; Viridiplantae; Streptophyta; Magnoliopsida; Poales; Poaceae.
GGGUCUACCCAUUGGUCAGGCUUAAUUGUCUGUACUGGUGAGAUGGAUCUCUACCUUCUGAGGAACUUUCAUGCCAUUUAUUUGGUGUGGUUGGAAAUCAGGACUGUUACUUUGAAAAAAUUAGAGUGUUUAAAGCAGACUAUCGUCUGAAUACAUUAGCAUGGAAUAAUGAAAUAGGACGGACUGAUUCUAUUUCGUUGGUUUCUAGGACCGAAGUA